AAUUUUUUUAAUUAUAUAAAAAAAGUCUCCUGCCCGGUGAUAUUUUAACGGCCGCGGUAUCCUGACCGUGCGAAGGUAGCAUAAUAGUUUGCCUUUUAAUUGGAGGUUGGAAUGAAUGGAUUUACGAGAAUAUAACUGUCUCUUUGUUUUUUAUAUAAAUUAAUUUAUAGGUGAAGAAGCCUUUAUUUUUAUAAAAGACAAGAAGACCCUAUCGAGCUUUAUAUAAAUAAUAUAUUAAAUAGAUGAAUUUACUAGACUAUAUUAUAAAUAUUUGGUUGGGGCGACAAAGGAAAAUAAAAAUCUUCCUAUAAAAUUUUGAAAAUUAUUCUUUAAAUUGACCCUUUAGGGCUGAUAGAAAUAGUUACCGUAGGGAUAACAGGCUAAUUUUUAUUGAGAGUUCAUAUUGAUAUUAAAGAUUGGCACCUCGAUGUUGGCUUAAAAUAUCCUAUAAAGGCAAAAGUUUAUAAGGGUGGGUUUGUUCAACCAUUAAAAUUUU
RNAcentral lists this ribosomal RNA (496 nucleotides) under Lacydonia sp. Tosa. Its description in RNAcentral is "partial 16S ribosomal RNA". It matches the Rfam family "Archaeal large subunit ribosomal RNA", at positions 1908 to 2666 of the family's 2987-position model. The record is from RNAcentral. Lineage: Eukaryota; Metazoa; Annelida; Polychaeta; Phyllodocida; Phyllodocidae.